Molecule: RNA transcript, 1966 nt
Organism: Zingiber officinale
Lineage: Eukaryota; Viridiplantae; Streptophyta; Magnoliopsida; Zingiberales; Zingiberaceae
Exons: 12
Source: RefSeq, a predicted model, not a curated record
CGAAUAAUCAUAGCCGCCUCGAUGGCGAGCUGCACCAAUCUCCGAUCCAGGGAAAGCUCGGCCACCCAUUUUCUAUCGCUGCGGACAUCCGCUGGUGCUGCCCACGCCUCGCGCCCGGAGGCGGACGACCUCCUAAAGUCAAGAUGCUGACCGCGAUGGACUCCUCCCUAGCUAUCCGCUUGCGCCACUGCUCAAGCGGCGGUGCCUGUCUUCAGCCGCCGCCGCCUGCGCCACCGCCUCAGGCGAUUCUGUCGGUUGUCGUCGGGGCAUUCCCAAGGUUCCCGUCCCAAGGCAAGCGGAGAAUUUCCGGAGGAGGCUUCGGGAUCUUUAUUGAUAGCUGCUCUCAAUCUCGCCGGGGUCUUCCUCUUUCUUCCAGAGUUCGUUCUUCGCAAGGCGAUGCAGGUUCGCUGCCGGAUUCACCGAGAAGCAACUCGAAGCCACGUUACCAUCCUUCUGAGGAAAUCCAAGAGCUGGAUCCUUCUGCUACUGGAGAAGAGAGGUGUCUCACAGUGGCGGAGACUGCUAGGACCAUAAUAGAGGUGAACAGCAAAGCAACUAUUGUCUUUUCAGGAUUCACUGAUGAUGUAGUGGAUCAAAAUAUUGUUUUGCCUUAUUUACCAUACUUAACUGAUGAACAUGGAGAUAUUUAUUUUGAGGUGGGCAAUGAGAAAGAAAUUUUGCAAACUCUGAUCGCAGAUGAUACAUUAGUGCAAGUUAUAAUUGGUUUGGACAAUGUGGAAAUGCUGCCAGAGAUGGACCUAUUAGGGCCAGCUGAUCUUGAUUAUGGAGUCGAAGAAAGUUCUAGUGAUGAAAGUACCAGUGAUGAAGAAUAUGAAGAGAAUGUUGUGAUCAUUCAAGAAGAUGAAAUAGAUGAGAUUCUCUCUGAUGAUAUAAGUGAUUGGACAAAUUUGGAAACAAUGCGAUCUUGUCACCCUAUGUAUUUUGCUAAGAAAAUGGAGGAGUCUAUAUUAACUGAUCAUUUGGACUGGAUGGAUCAACCUCCUGCUAGCAUUGUCAUUCGAGGUCAUUUGAGACCUGCUUUUGUUGAGGAGAACACAAAUAUCAAGAAGAUUCCAUAUAGUGGAGAAUCAGAUAAUGACAGAAGUUCGAGUAAUGGAGCUGCUUUUUAUAAAUUGGAGAUGAUUAAUAUUCAGAUAGUUUCUGCAUAUGGAAGCCAGUUUGCUGUGAAAAUUCAAGACUUUCUGGAAGCUCAACCAGAUGUUCUUGCACAUUCAGCUGCAAACAUUUUAUCUCGACUAAAAGCUGGUGGUGAGAAGAUCUCACAAGCCCUUAAAAACCUAUGCCUGAGGCAAAAGAGUAUGAAUGUGGAGGAGGCUGUUGCAAUUGGAGUUGAUAGUCUUGGUUUCGACUUGAGAAUUUGCUCAGGAAGGCAAGUUCAAACCUUAAGAUUUUCAUUUGACACACAAGCAACAUCAGAGUUUAGCGCAGAAAAGCAGCUAAAUGAUCUUCUUUUUCCCCGACAGCAGCAGAAACAGCAGAGCUGGCAGCAAGCUCAUCAGGAUUAGACAGCUGACAAGUUUGAUUAUAGCAUAUCUAGCCGAUUCAUCUUCAUAUCUUGAGGUGGGAUCGUCUGAUCUUUCAUCCCCGCCAUCAGGUCAUCUAUUGCAUAUAACUUGUCUCUCAAUUCCUAGCUCUUGAUCAGGGAAGCCACUGUAGCUUGGAAGUAUAUUGAUUGAUCUGGGACAUACGGAUGAAAAAUCUUAGACAGAAGAUCUGAUUUCAAUUAAUCCACCGGUGGAGAGAAAAGCUUGGGCUGGGCCUGGGCCGAAGGCCUGGGCGGACCGGUCCUCCGCCUUUAAAUACCGCAUUGGAACAUUCUCUCCUUUGGCUCAGCACCAAAACAUCCUCCGCUCCGCUUGCUCCAAAUCCGUCGCUCUGCUCCUCCUCCUCCUCCUCCUCCUACACCGCCCAAAUCCCAAUCGCAUCGGCAGCGGAAACCUAGGCG